This 1677-nucleotide long non-coding RNA is filed under the name Physcomitrium patens. RNAcentral describes it as "long non-coding RNA (PPAT_LNC001147)". Lineage: Eukaryota; Viridiplantae; Streptophyta; Bryopsida; Funariales; Funariaceae. The record is from RNAcentral.
AAUAUCAAUAUUCCUUUUAAAAUCCAUUAAUGAUGGUUGAUCAUCUCUAAAUUUUCAUCAAAAUUGUUCAUGUUUAUUUAUUUAUUUAUUUUCUUUUUUGAUGUAAAUCCUAACAUGGACAAUCAUGUCAACAUUGUUUUCUUGUUAAUUUGUUCUAUGGCUGUCCAAGUUUUGCAAAAUAUUCUUGCUCAACAAUAAAUUUUGAAUGUUGCCCACAAUCUAAAUUGAAAUAACAAUUGAGAAGAAGAAGGAUAUGAGGAUUAAUAUCCUCCUUUUUUGUGAAACAAAGUGCAUGUUCAAAUUAUAAUCCAUGCUUCUAAAUCUCCUUGGUUCAUAAUAUCUGUAAUUGACCUGAAUAAGAUAUCAUACAUACAUACACAUAUAUAUUCAAGGUAAUCAAUAUCAGAAUUAUAGGUUCUGUAAUGGUUUUUUUGAUGAUCCUUAAUGAAUCAGGCUUCUGAUUAAAAGCAAUCAAAAAGUUGAUACAUGAACUCUUUACAUUUUGUUUUAAAUUUCAUUUCAUCCUAGAAUGGUACAAAUUUUUGUCCAAAUUGUAUCAUUCUGACAACAAAUCUGAGCUGAAAUAGCGAACUUGAACCACUUUUAAUUUUGGUCAUCAAGUUAACAUCCUUGUUAUACUUUUCAUUCACAACGUUUCUCAAAACAAGUUUGUAACAAACUGUAUACUUCAUCAAAAUUACCAACAACAUAAAAAUUGGAAAAUAUCAAGUAAAUAUGCAUGCACAUAGUUAUAUAUACAUGUACAUAUUUAUACAUAUAAAUAUAUAUACAGGGAGGCACACCACUUAGACGCAAGGUACAGGAUCCAUAGCAGCAUGGAUCAUGAACCUCCGGAUCUGAUCCGGGGCCACCACUCAACUCUCCCAACAGCACCACUGCACUGCACUCCACAUCGUCAAGACGACACAAAAGCCCACAUCACAGCAGCUGCAACCGAUGAAGAUGAAGAAGUAGAAGCAGCAGCAUGUGGGUACUCUUUCAUUCUGUCUGUCUGUCUGUCUGUCUCUCUCACACACACGUGUAUAUCUAUAUGCAAGUGUGUGAGUGAGUGUGUGGAGAUGUCUGUAUGUAUUUAUACAUAUAUAUAGACAGUAGAAUUUACACAAGGCUGCUGCGGGAGUGAGUGAGUGAGUGCUCCAUUGCAGCAGCAGCACCUCGACGGGGUAAUCACGACGCCGAAUCCAGCACAGAUAAUAAAUGCUUCUUCUUCUUCGCAGUGAGUGAGUGAGUGCCAAGCGCCGUUGCAGGGCGACAAAGGAACAGAAACUCGAAGGAGGGGAAGAAGAAGAAGAAAAAGGAGGGGGGACAAUUUGUUGCUAUUUGUUGUGAGGGUGUAGUAGUAGUAAUAGUAGUGCUUUAUGACUAGUUUGGCAUCAAAUCAAUAAAUGAUGCAAAGUAGCAGCAAGAAUAAUAAUAAUAAUAAUAAUAAUGUUAAUGUGGUAAACGAGAAAGAAACUUAUUCCAAGCAGCAGAAACUUAUGUUCCUCUUCUUGUAACCCACUAGACUCCCACUUCCAACAUCAUCAUCUGAAUUCAACGUGAAUGUUUAUUUAUUUAUUUAGUCUAAUUUCAUUUGUGUACAUGUUUUGAAUGAGAACUUCUACAUAGUAAAACUUAACAUGACAUGCACAGAAAAAAGUAAUACAAAUAAAAAUG